Molecule: ribosomal RNA, 426 nt
Filed under: uncultured bacterium
Lineage: Bacteria
Description: partial 16S ribosomal RNA
Rfam family: Bacterial small subunit ribosomal RNA
Source: RNAcentral
GUGAGGAAUUUUCCGCAAUGGGCGAAAGCCUGACGGAGCAAUGCCGCGUGAAGGAUGAAGGCCUAUGGGUUGUAAACUUCUUUUCUCAGAAAAGAAUUAUGACGGUAUCUGAGGAAUAAGCAUCGGCUAACUCUGUGCCAGCAGCCGCGGUAAGACAGAGGAUGCAAGCGUUAUCCGGAAUGAUUGGGCGUAAAGCGUCUGUAGGUUGUUUAAAAAGUAUUCUGUCAAAGAUUAGGGCUUAACCCUAGAUAGGCAGAAUAAACUUUUAAGCUAGAGUUUGGUAGAGGCAGAGGGAAUUCCCGGUGGAGCGGUGAAAUGCGUAGAUAUCGGGAGGAACACCAAAGGCGAAGGCACUCUGCUGGGCCAAUACUAACACUGAGAGACGAAAGCGAGGGGAGCAAAUGGGAUUAGAUACCCAAGUAGUCA